GGGAGUCACGAUUGAAGAAAGGGAAGGCAAAGGUUCGAUUAACUCAAACCUAAGGCACCCUUUCAACCUAGUCUAAGCUAGUUGCGAGGUUUAGUCAAAAUUUUCCUAAUCUAACCCUUAAUUUUAUCAUAUUUGGAUGUUUCUUACAUGAAUGCAAAUCUAAAUUUAUAAAAUAUCGAAAGGGUCAAAAUAUCUAUUCAAGGAUUUAAUCGAACCAAUCGCAUUAAUUGCGAAGGCCAAAACGAUUCCUUGAAAGUGUCACGAGUAUGCGAAUAAUGAAAUUAAAAUAAAAAAAAUUAAAUUAUAUACAUAUAUAAGUGAUCAAAGAAAAAGGGAAUGCAACAUAAAGGGUACGGGAGGCAAAACUCGUGACAUAAUUUUCUUAUACAUGGAUUAAUAGGGUAUUUAAACUAAAAAGUUAUAAUCACCCAUUUCCCAUGUUUGAAAAACAAUUAUCCUAACAUGAAUAAGCAAAUGAACCUACUUAUCAUACAAUUUCUUAAAUGAAAUGCAAUUCUAAGUGAUAUAAUUAACACAUAUAGAGGAUAGGGGAUAAUAUAAUAGGAAAUAUCAUGCAAAUGAGAAAAGAUCCUAAAAAAGAAAAUAUGCAUGAAAAUGUAGUGAAUAGCAUACAAAGAUGAGUCUAGCGCAAGACGACCUAAAGGGUCUAGCGUUGGACUAGCCCAUUUCUAAAAAUCCUUACUAGCGUUCGACUAGCAAGUAAGCGGAGGGAGAAACUGUAGCGCCCCCACUUCUCCCUAAGGCGAACCAAAGGGUAUCCGCGGGACGCCUGCCCAGCUCUCGCCAGGACUCACUACAAUCCAUCAUUCAAAAGCCCGAAAUACUUUAAGUAACUUCAAUACAUAAUUAAAGUACUUCAAAUAUCUCACACUUACAAUUAUACAGCUUUCAAGCUUAAAUACAACCCAACGGAAAAGGGUACAAUAGCCAUCUGUUAUAAUAUAACGUAAAAUCUUCAAAAGAAAGCAAUCUAGUACUACUCACGAGUACCCUUGGUCUCGAACCCUGUAAAAGAAAACCACAACGUGGGAUGAGCUACACAGCCCAGUGAGGUUCCAAGACACUCUAAUGGACAGCUUCAUAUAACAUGUGAUUCAUGAUAAUCAAGUAAUCAAGUAGAUACUUAGCACGUAAGCACGUAAGCAAUACAAGUUGAUUUCAUGGGAGCAUGUAAUUCACGGAUAUCGAAUAGUCAUGUAGAUUGGAAAUCAUGUGAGCAAAUAGUCAAGUAAUCAAGUAGGUAAAGUACACAUUUGAGUAGGUUGAGUAGGUCGAGUGAGUAGGUCGAGUGAGAACAAGUGCGAUAAAGUACGCACUCGACUCCAUUUUUCAAAAUCGAGUAGGCUAAGUAAACAAUCUAGCAAGUUAAGCAUGUAUCGAGUUCAUAUGGUCAUUUGAUAUGGUUAAUCAUUUAACCAAUUCAUGUAGAUAUACAAUGCAAGUAUACAUUCGUUAAAUAGGCAUGAGUAUGGUAAAUACUUAACACAUAGCACUUAGCACUUAAUAAUCAUGAAAUAAGCGUGUCCUAGACUUAUUCAAUUACGUAUUCCUAUAUGGAACACUCACCUAGUCAAAACAAACGAGUAGUUUUCAAACAAGCGUUUAGGUGUCCGCUCCGAGUUCCUCUUGGAGAUUCCCUCGAGUGCCUGAGUAAACAAUAAUCAAGUACCACUCAAUAUCACUACGAAUAUCUAAUUAUCGAGGAAGAUUGUACGCUACUGCAAUCUAAGGAAAUCUUAUGAAAAUGAACCUCAAUUACUCGUAAAUCGAGGUUCAAGAGUAAAGUUUUAAAGUCUAAAGAGAGAGACUAACAUUUUCCAUGAAAUUGAGUUCAAAAUGUUCAAUCGGUAUCGAGAAAAGAAGGCAAGUUUCCAAAAUCUCAUUUUCUAAGAAAUUGACAAAUUUCAGCUUUGGGUGCCAAUUUAGAAAAAUCGUAUCUUGCACUAUGUAGGUCCAUAAUUAGAAAGUUUGAUACCGUUGGAAACUUCUUCAAAAGCACUAAAAGUUCCUAGAAGAUACUUUUCCAUGAUUCCAAAUGGAAAAUAUUCAAAAAUUGACUCAAAGUUGCUGCUUGGGACCAUUAUGACAGUUUCGGGGUUGGUUUUUGACCAACUUUGAAAAUCCAGCAAAAUUCACACAAUACGAACUAGCCUCCGAAAUUUAGAACUCAAUUAGAGCUACAAUCAAAGUUUAAAACAAAACAAACGGAACAAGAAUCAAAGUUUUGAGCGCCAAGAUAUAGCAGCUCAAAGUUGGCUAAAAUUUCCUCCUCGAUCAAGAAUUUCCAGAUUUAAACAUGAACUUUGGGACGUUGGUUGAAUACUGAAACGGACUUCGAAUGGCACCAAAUUUAGCAGUAUUACACUACCAUAUAGGGGUUAUUCCUCUGCAAAUUUUCAAGCAAAAUCUAGCACGAAGAGUCAAUUAACAAAACUGUUGAAGUUUUCAAGAAUUUCCAAGGCAAUCUGCCUCGUACCUUUGUUUUCCUUUUCUCAAACAUUUGGCCACUAAAAACCUCUCAAAUAUGGUUCAUUUGCGUAGAUAAUUCCUAAGAAACAUCAAAGCUGUAUUUGGUAGGUGAUUUAUACCAAGAAUUUCGAAUGACAAGUCCCAAGUCAAGAUUGGAUAAUCGGCUAAGAGAAAAGGAAAAGUUUUCCAGAUUCGAAGAGCAAUUUCGGGGCAUCAUUUGCAUAACAAAAUGGUCUUAGAAUAUCACCAAAUUUUGCACAAUUAAACCUCCAUAUGAGGACCACUCCUCUAUCAAAUUUCAUUUGAAAAUUAACAUGAGAAGGUAGUUAACUAAACCAUCAAAGUUCAAGAAAUUUCCCAAGGCAAAACUGUCUUCUAGCUCUUCUUUCUUUUUAAACAUUUUGUCCAAUGCAACCAACCCAAAUCUGGUUUAUUUGUAAAAAAAAGUCCAAGGAACAUCUAAUAUAAAGUUUGGAAGAUGUUGGACAUCAAAGUUUCCAAAACAACAAGUCCCAAAUCAAGCUAGGCCAUUCAACUAGUCAAAAGAGGAUUUUUACUCACUGCAUCAGUUUCGAAAUAUGGCCACAACUCACUCAAUUCAACUUGGAAUUGAGCAUGGUUGAUGGAGUUGGAAAGCUCUCUCAUAAAGCUGAAUUUUAUCAGAAGAAAUCAUUUUGAAAUUCUAUCCACAAACAGCUCGUUUUUGAGCAUCAAGAUACAAGUCCUGUCCUGUCUCCUCGAGAGAAAUGAAACAGGACAGUGAUUUUCAAUCGAAUGGUGUGGCUCACUCAAGUAGAACCAGAAUGUGAAUUUGGUACCGAUGGAAAUCUGGGAAUGUCUAGUUUCCAGUGCCGCAAACAGCACUUGAUUUCGACAUCGGAGUAAAGAGUUAUGGCCGAUACAAAAUGACUGCCUGGGCAAUACGGGAUUCAUUUUCCAGUUUUGCUAACUUUGGAAAUCAACUCAUUUGACCAACCAAAUCAUGUUAUUUUCAAUGAAAUUUUGUACACACUCACAAUAACAUGUAAAAAAUAUAAUCAAGUCAUUAGAACCUCAAAAUUGUGCACAAAAUGGUCGGACAAGGCAGGGGCAAAAUCGGAAACUUUUGCUUCUUACACCCAAUGAAGUUUCUAUCAAUUACACACCAUUAAUCCAUCAUUUUAACCACUAAACCAACAAUAUAUCCACCAUCAAUCAACAAAUCAGCAACAACCCAAGAGUGGGAGUUCAUAGAGCCCACUUUCACAUUUUAUACCAUAAACAAAACUACCCACAUGAUUAUAUAACCUUAUGUGUGCAAUAUAUCUUACAAAAACUAAGAUCUAUGGGUUGGAUGAUUUGCUACCUUCUUGGAUGACUAGAUCAGAAAUUUUGGUCACUCUUUGCUCCAGAAAACUGUGGCUUUUCAGCUCCCUUUUGCAGCUCAAAAUACUCCUCAAGUGUUAUACUAAGUGUGGGUGAAAUUUGAAGUUAAUUGGAAGAGGUUUGAUAAAGAUUUGAUGAAGGAAAAAUGAAGAACUUGGUCUUGUUUUUCCUUGGAGUUGCACGGCUGGAAUGAAGAAGGAAAAGAAGAGUUGCACGGCUGUUUGAGGUGAUAAAGUGGAGGGUUUUGAUCUGGUGUGAUGCACCCAUGUGAAACUAAAAUGUGUGGCUCUCAUUGAUUCAAAGGUCAACUCUUUUUCCCGCGCGUUUCGUGUUCGAUUCCUCUCGAAUUUGUUUCACUAGUGCACUAAACCUCUAAUGCACUUAUAUUCAUAUAAAUAUUAUUCACUCUUAAAUUGUCCCAAAAUAAGGGUCUAAAGUUCUUAAAUUAAAUCGCGCGCGUAAAAACGUGUACUUCCAAUUUAUGCGCGAUAAGACGAAAUUUCAAAAAAAUUCUUAUAACGAUAGUACUAAUAACUAUCACUUGAGUAUUUAAACAUUAAAAUGCCUAAUUUAGAUCCAUUGUACAUGUCUCCAAUAUUUCAAACCUAUUGUACUCUCAAUCGAUCAAAAUUUCCAAAGACGGGUUCACUAUUUCACUAAACGAGCUUCCGAAAAUUAAUUUUUGAAACAAGUCAUUUUAAAAAUAUAAUGAAACUAUAUUUCCAUGUAAUUAGGUCUCAAGAGCUUAGAAAAUAAUAUUCGGAGUAAAAGACCAAAUAAAUAAUUAAAUAAGCUAGAAAUAGGAGAUUAAAUAAGUAAAUUUUGCGAGUCCUCACAGAAACCACGACUAGCGUUGGACUAGUGUGGUGACGUCGUGCAUUAACAAUUCAUAGUGAAACAAAUAAAGCAUAAAUUAAAACAAAUAAAUACAUAAGAACACGUAAUACAUAAGCAUAAUAUCUAGAUGCAAAAAAUCCUAAGAAAAGCGGGUAAGGCACAUAACACAUAAGCCACGUAAACACGCAACCUAUCUAUUACAUCGGGGAAUCUAACUACAAUCUAAAAUGGGAAAGAUAUGAUAAAAUAAAACUAGUUAUCCUAUCUAUUACAUUCUUGAGGUAUUUAAAUGCCUCUCGAAUAAUUAUAAAAAUUAACUAAACAAAUAUAAUAUAAGAAAAUUUAAAUAAACAUUUAAAUGCAAUAAAUAAAGCAUAUAAAAAUAUAUAAACACAUAGGAAUACAUAGGAGCACAUAAGAGCACGUAAUUGACAUUGAAAUAAUAAAAAUAGAAGUACCUCCCGUUUGAAGUGGUGACUAAAUGGAGUCAAAUUGUCCUAUUUAUACUCACAAUGAACAAAAGAAUCAUGGCACCAAUUUAAUUAAAAAUAAUAAUAAUAAAAGUACUAAAUUCAUACUAAUAUGUCAAACAUAAAGAAAUUUAAAACAUCUAAAAAUUACAAGUUGAAUAUGUUCAAAAGUAACAUAAUUAGCUAUUAAAGAAAAGAAGCAAUCAUAAUAAAGAGUGUCAAAAUUCACAAGGGACUGAAUUGCAAAAAUUAAAAAACUUUUGGGGAUAAAAAUUAUAUUUUUCCAAAGUUUAGAGUCAAAAUUAAAUAAAAGAUAAAAUUUAGGGACCACAGUGCAAUUAAUUGAAGGAACGAGUUGAAAGGAAUUUAAAAUAUUCUGGGCCGUAGUAAAAAUACUUGAAAGUACAGGGACUGAUAUGCAAAAACGUUUUCUUAUUCCUUAACAAAUCAGGCCACUGGGCCAUCAUUUUUAUUUCUUUGGGCCAAAUAUUCCUAAGCCCACCGAAAAUCUAAGAGAAACGAGCAGGCCAGCCCUUCUUUUUAUCACUCAAGCCCAAUUAAAAAAAUGCAUGGGCUCUGACCUUCUAGCCCAACCGAAACCCAAAAGAAAAAGAACAAAAUUCCAUUCCCCAAACCCAACCAAAAUAACCACAAGCCCACCUAAAAAAAUAAAACACUAGCCCAAGCCCCCCCUUUUCUUUCUUUUCUUUUCUUUCUUCUUCCCCACCUUCUUCUUUCUCUCGUUUCUUCUUUCUUCUUCGGUCAGCGAAGCUUCAGCUGGCGGCCAUGGUGGUCGCCGGUGGCGCCGGACCGCCGUCGCCGGUGACCUCUCCGAUCACCGAAUUUCACAAAAAUACACCCCCUCACUCCAUUUUUCGCGUAGAAUUCACUUCCGGAGUUAGUUUUUACAAAAGAUGACCCAAAAGUGGUCAAAAUGCCAAGAAAUCAGUUCAGUUUUUAUUUUUUUAAAACCCUCAAAUCUUCACCAAAAAUCAUAAAAAUUAUGCCAAAACCCUCCUGAUAACUUCUACAAUACAACUAUAAUCUUAGUUUGACAAGUAAACAACAACAAAAGGAUGCAUUAAAUCAAAAUAGUCCCUAAAAUUCUUUUUGGCAUUUUUUCAAACAAUUAACAUGCAUUCACAAGAAAUCAUCUUUUUUCCUUAAUUUCACACAUGGCUUACCCCAAAACUUCAACAACACCACAUAACAACAUCACUAAAAGAAAGAGACAAAUAGAUAGCAAAACAUGAAUUUAAUCUAAUUAGUUAAUAAAAUGAAAAACUGGAAAAAAAAUAAUAAUGAUACCUCAAUGAGGAGUUUGGUCCCUUGGCCAAAGUUUGUGAUGAAAUUUGCCAAGCUCGAAAUAGCCUAACCGAUCGCUGCUUCCUUUUGUUGUUUUAAUUUGUGUGUGAGUGUGUUGGGAGAAACAAAAAAAGAAAAAGGAACCGAGAGGGAGAGAGUCGAGAGUCAGAGUGAAGUUGGAGUCUUUUUUUCUUCUUCUGUCUGACCUGAUGGUCCGUCCAGAGAGCAGAGAAUCGAGAGGGACCUGUAGCCAAAGUGGAGGUUGUGUCUUAAAUCUUCCAAAAAUGAUGAUUUCUCAACUAAUGAAAAGACAAGUCCAUCGCCAUUGAGUGUGAAAUGGGUUAAAUGUAUUUUGGUGAAAAAAAAAUGAUUAGAAUGAUUUUUUUUAUUUUCUUAAUUUUCCUCUUUUUUUGUUGUUUUUUUUUUAGUUUUUGUGUUUUGUUUUUUUUUUCUUUCUCUUUUUUUUUUUUAAACAAACCUGCAAAAAAUGAGGAAAAUGCACAUUAAAAUGCAAGAAAAUAAAUAAUUCAUUAAAUAAAAAAAAUUCAAGAAAAUUUUGAAAUUUGACAAAAAUUUGGUGUCUACAGUUUGCCCCUCUUUGUCUUGAGUUUCUUUGAAACUCAAGACAAAGACAUAGACACCAAAUUGCUUACCUGUUUCUUUUAACUGCACCUGAGCUAAAAUAAACAAGCCAACACCUGGUUGAAAUUAUUGGACAAAAUGAUGCAAUAACAUUGCAGAAAAAGUGACCGAACCCAUAUAGAGUUGCCUACGUAUCCCACCAUGGGAAUCAGGUCAAACGUAGUUCGAUUGCAAGUGAACCACAAUGAAACAAGUGCAUUGACCAACUGUGAUCUUUGCAAAGUUGAAAAAGUCUGAGCUCUUAGAACUUCACAAAAUGAAUGAGAAAGCACAAUUAUUAAUCAAAACAGUCAAGAAAAGUAACUUGUCAUAACUAGAAAAAGAUGCGCUGAGGGACGGGAUUACGCUCCAACAGGAAAUUAAAUUGUCAAGAAGGGGAGAUAGAAGGGUACGCGGUGGACGCUGAGUCUCACCAACAGAAAUUUAAAUUGUCAAGAAGGGGAGGUAGAAGGGUGCGCGGUGGACGCUGAGACUCACCAACAGGAAAUUAAAUUGAUGCGCGGGGGGACGCGAUUACGCUCCAACAGGAAUUUAAAUUGUCAAGAAGGGGAGAUAGAAGGGUGCGCGGUGAACGCUGAGACUCACCAACAGGAAAUUAAAUUUGUCAAGAAUGGGAGGUAGAAGGGUGCGCGGUGGAUGCUGAGACUCACCAACAGGAAAUUAAAUUGAUGCGCGGAGGGACGCGAUUACGCUCCAACAGGAAAUUAAAUUGUCAAGAAGGGGAGAUAGAAGGGUGCGCGGUGGACGCUGAGACUCACCAACAGUAAUUUAAAUUGUCAAGAAGGGGGAUAGAAGGGUGCGCGGUGGACGCUGAGACUCACCAACAGGAAAUUAAAUUGGAUCUUCUUGAUUGAUUGAUUUUUUUUUCUUUUUAACAGAUUGGUGGGAUUGACCCGAGCCCAAUUAAACACUGAAAGAAAUGAAAAUGCAAGUUCAAUACUAUCAAACUGAAAGAUUAAAAUGCAUGUUGCUCAAGUUGGUGGAUUUGCAAUCUCUCUCUUUUUUCCAAACUUUAGAAGAAAUGAAAGAAACACACUUUUUUUGUUUUUGUUUUUGUUUUUAUUUUUGUUUUUUUUGUUUUUUUGAAAAGGUCCAAAGUGACAAAUUUUAAAACUAGAAGGAUACCAAUGACAAUUCUCCUUUCAAGAGAUUCGAGAGGUACAUAUAUAUGUCACUAUUCUCUCGAUUUUAAAAGACUCUUUUUCUUUUUUCACUUUUUUCUUUCACAAAACCGAUUUAGAAUGCAUUACCAAAAUUGGAGCUCACUCCUUUUGAUAUUUGCCCCAGUGUAAAUCAUGUUUAACGAAGGCCACAUUUUUCAUGCUUUCAAAAAAGCAAAAAGAGUGAUCAUAUGAUACCAAUACCAUGUGAUUCCUUGUGCUCCUUUUGGCCCUGAGAACCGUGCAAGCAUGAUCUUUUGAUGUCAAAAUUACUCCUCAAGAGUUGUGCUGCAACUUGUUUUGAAUCUUCUCAAUUUUCCAGCAUCAGUCAGCCAUACCUCACUUUGUACCACAAAUCAACUUUUCUAAUGACCAGAUUUGAAUGAAUGGCCAGUAUCUCAAGUGUCAGCAACCCGCUUUUCGUCCAUGAUUCUCUUGUGCUCCAAAAUCUUACCUUGAUGACCUUAACCUUUCGGAUUUUCACAAAGGUCACACCUUUUUAUUUUAUUUUGUUUUCAUUUUCUUCUCUUUUUUCUUUUUCAUCCUUCUCUUUUUUUUCAUUUUUUCUUUUCUCUCUCUCUUUUUUUCUUUUUGAAAAGACACCCAUUUGAGUUUUCACUCAAUGAACAAAUCUUGUCAACAACCUUUAUCAACUUAAAAAUAUGUUUUAAGAAAUAAUGGCAUCAGUGCAGCAAUCCUUUUCAUGCAAAAAUGGUAAAGGUGUAUUGACAUCAUUUGCCAUUUGAUUAAGUGAUUUUUAUUAGAAAUACCACUAAAGCGGAGGUCGGGAGUUUAUGAUUUUUAUGAUGGGGCCAGGUGGGGUGUGGAAGAAAUGUUAAGGCUUGAAAGCAAAUCUUCAAAGAAGCUUCAAAAAUCCUAGGACCGCGCUCUAUCAAUAUUUGCCCCAGCAUGAGGGUAUUGAAACUGAAAAAAUUGCCCCAGUUUGGCUUUUGAAUCUUUUUUUUUUCUUUUUUUUUUCAUGACAAAUAGGAGAUAAAAUUUUACCCCAGUAUGGGGUUUGCAAUCUUUAGGAGGGCUAUCAAAUGAAGGGUUAAAAUAUUCUGGAGGUUCAAUGGGGAAACUAGGGGUAAGAUGUUCAAAGAGAAAAAAAAAAAAAAAAAGGCUCGCCUUUGAUCCGCCAUAGAUGGUAUUUCAAAAAGAAAAAUCACAUAAUCAGAUAAAGAAUUUAUUACACAUGUCUGAAUUGAUUGGCAGAGGAAAGACCUGUCCAUCCAGUUCUGUAAGCAUGGGCGUUCAUCCGGAUAGCACUCUUUGAACAAUAAAUGCCCCUUGCCAAGUUGGAGCAAACUUUUCUUUAACCUCCUCUUGAAUCGGAAGAAUUUACUUCAAAACCUUAUCCCUCACUUCAAAUGAGCGAGAUUUGUCUUUCUUGUCAUAACUAACGAACCAUCCUUUGAUGAUAGCAUUGUUCAUGGCAGGUAAUAUUCAACCUCUUUUUCAUCCAUUGAAGACAUCAACUCAUUAUGCUCCUUGAUCCAUUUGAUUUCUUCUACCUGAGCCUUCGUCCAAAUGCGCAAGGGCGGGAUCUCGGUUUUGGCAUGUAUUACCACUUCCAUUUCGAAGCAUAAGAGGGUAAGAUGUUGCCCUAACUUAGAAAUGUAAUCUCCAAUGAAAUGCUCCCAGAGUUCAAUUGCAAAAUUUGCAAAAUCGAAGGAAAAACUCUCUUUUUCAUCUUUCACUCCCCUUUUUCUUUUCUCUUUUUUUUUCCUUUUUUUUUCUUUUUUUUUCUUUUCUCUUUUUUUUAUUCCCCUUUUUUCUUUUCUCUUCUUUUUUUCUUUUUCGAGUUGGCUGUCGAACCAAUAGCCAAUUCUCCACUUUGCAAUGUAGCAUUAUUGCCUCCUUUUUAUUCGUGAUUACCCUCCAAAUUUGUAAAAUUUUCACUUGCAUCUUUUUCUUGAACUUUACCAUAAACACCCGCACAGGGGGGAUUUUUCAAAGCACUUGAAUUUUUCAAAAUUCUUUUUCUCUUUUUUUUUUAGCAAUGAUAUAACAAUUAAGACUCAUGCAAAGUGUUGAAUUAUCAAAAAAAAAAAAAUUUUAAAAAUAUAUAUAUGUACUUGAUAUUGGACAUACCCUACAAAUGUGUUAUAAAAUUUUGCCUCAAUUUGAACUUAUUUCGUGAAAUCUCGCAAAUAUAUUACAAAAAAAUUGGCCCCAGAUUGGGCCUAUUAUAAAAUUUUAUUUGAGUGAUUCUUCAUUUAUUUGGGCAAAACUGAAAAUUGUGUGGUUUUUUUUUUCUUUCUUCCAAAAUUUAGAAAACUAAUAUGCAGUGUGAGUGGAUGUACAAAUGAAGAAUGCAUUUUUUCAUAAAAAAAACUUUAAAUGUCAUGUAGAAGACUCCAUGAUAAAUCUCUCAAAACAAGACCAAAUUGCAAAAGAUCUCUUCCUCAUUUCAGGAUUGGUGUUGAGGGAAAGGGUCCCCUUCUUGUUAGCUCAUCCUUUAGGAUCGAACAAAUGGGCAUUAUUCCUAAUUUGAGAUGGCUCAGGGAGAAAUGAUAGGUUAGGAUCUGUCUUGUUUUUGUACCCAGAUUGUAUCUAACACAUUCAAUAUCACAUUCUGGUGAAAGCAAAUAGUUUAUCACUCUUAUUUCUUAAGAAAACUCAGUCAACAUAUAAGCUCUAUAGGCUUGUAAUGUAUUGGUAGAAACAAUAGUUAAACAUAUGAAAACAAGUUAUGGCCUGAUGAUCACACGUGAUUGAUAGGUUCCUUAAAGGCAAAAUCUUCACUUCAAAUUGUCAUGAAAGAUAAGUCAGCAAUGGACUUUAUGAGCUUGUAAUAUGGCUUGACAACGAUAGCUAAAAGAAAUAAAAUUUUCAAGGACAAUGCACUUAAGAUCGCCUUCUUUCCCGAAAAUUGCCCCAGUUUUGGAUUUAAAAUCCAGGACACCAUUUUGACUCUCUCUCUCUCUCUUUUUUUUUUUUUUUUUAUCAAUCACUAGAGGGAAUUCAACAUUAGAUGUCUUUGCCCUUUUUUUUCAUCUUUUCGUUUCAUCAUCAUUUUUCACAUUUUUUUGUUUCUUUUUUUUUUUCAAUACUGAGAUCUCAAAUGCCAAUGAUAGAAUUGAAAACUCCCUCAUUUUGGAGUAUAAAUGGCCCCUCUUUCUUUUCGAUAUUGAAGACCAAAAUAUCAAUGGUAGAGUCAAAUUCCCCCAACUUGUAGCAUUUUUCUCUUGCAAAAAUUUUGAGCAUCUUUGCCAUUUUUUUUCUCAAAUCUCCUUCCCCAGUAUGGAGGUGUUAUCAUAAGUGCUUUUGAAACGAACCACCAAUUUAGGCUCAAAAGAGGAUGCAAGGAUAAACAGUGUUUAGAUAAUAGAAACGAUGGCCAAAGCAUUAUUCUUAUUUCUCAUGACAACCAAGGUAAAGAAUAAUCCAUUGAGAAAAUCCAUUUCCUUUUGACAUUCGAAAAUUUUUCCAUGACGGGUCAUGAUCAUUGAGGCUUUUAUUUGAAACGAAAUUCUAUUUUUUUUUUUAAGUUUCAAAUGGAAAAACAAAUGAUAAAAUCUGUAUAGAUAGAGAAAUGAAAGCCUAAAGUAUCAUUCCAAAUUUUCAAAACAAAUAUGAAGUAAUGUACAUUUUUGCUUUCACUCAGAUGUGGAUUGAAUCGGAUUAGACACACUGGACAUUUUCAUGGUAAAAAUUGUCUCACUUUGAAGCUAGUCAAUCAAUGCGACUGAUCUUAGAGGUUCAAUAAAAGUGGACAAAAAAUGAAAAAGAAAAGUAUCUGGGUUGAUCUUUUAUGAGAAACUAUCAAAUUUGUGUGACCCCUUUUAUUUCGACUACUCCCAUUGAAUAGUUUAGACCACAAAUCUAGUGUAUGCAAAGAAUUUUGGGGAUUGGACAUACAGUCAUGAAUUUUCGAACAAGAGGUCGAAAAUUUACAAUUUAGUCUUAUUUCUUAAAAUUUAUCAUGAAAUCUCCCAAUGAGCAAAUAAAGAAUGAAUAUAUACAAAACAAUAAUUGUCUAAAUAAAAACUUUAUUAUUCAAAUGUUUGAAAAUUUUUUUCUCAAAUAUAAUACAUGUGAGAAAAUAAAAAUCUUUAAAAAAUACACUUUCAAAUAUAUAUAUAUAUAUAUAUAUAUAUACACUUUCUCUUUCUAUCUUUUGAGACAAAAUGUAUUAGAAACAAUGAAUCAAAAGAUUUUUGAGAUGCUUUAGACUAGCAUUUUCAGAUGGAUUCAUCAUUUUUUUUAAUUUUUUUUGUAGGAUCUGCCCAAGAACCAAGUAACACUUGUAAUUUUCAAAGCUUAUAGACCAAAAAUAUUAUCAGAUAUAGAAAAAAUAUUUUUUUUACCUUAUUGAAACAACUUUUAUAAAUAUAGGGGAGGGGAAAAAUAAAAGAAAAAUACCCAGAGUUAGUAAGGAAAACUGUAAAAUCGAUAUGCAUGUCCUAUGGGGGAACCCUUUUAUGCCAAGGGUUGGCCUAGUAUGAAAAAUGCAAUCCUCCGGAGUAGGCACCAUACAAUACCUGAUGGAUCCGAUCGACCUAUUGAGUAAAAAAUAAUUUGAAAAAAUUUGGCCAAUUGGAGUGAGAAGAGACAUUUGUCUUAAAAAUGAGGACAAAAUCCGAAUGGAUUGCUUGCUUUGAUUGACACAUAAAGUGAUAUUAAAAAUCAAUUUAGUGUGAAAAACUUAUUUUUGAAAGGAUUGAAAUAUCUCGACUAGUUUCUUCGGUGAACCAUAAAUCGAAACUUUAAAAGAGAAUAAAGGGGUUAAAUGAAUUGAAUGAAAUUGAUAGUUAGUUCAAAAAUUGACUGGAUUAUCCUGAAAGUGAAUAAAACCGAUCCAAUAGAUUGGAUGAAAUUGAGAAUUUAUUCAAAAAAAAAUUGACUAAAUGAAUAAUGAAUUGGAUGGAAUUGAUGAUUUAUUCAAAAUUGAUUGUAUUGUCCUAAAAAUGAAUAAAUUGAUCAAAUGAAUUGGAUAGAAUGGACAGUUUAUUCAAAAAUCGACUGGAUCACUGACCAAAUGAAUAGAAUGAAAUUGAUGAUUUAUCCAAAAUGAAAUUGAAUGAAAAUGAAAUUAAAAAUGAGCAAAAUUGUAAGGAUUGAAUGAUCUAUAAAAAAAAUCGACUCAAUCAUCUUAGAUGUAAAAAUGGAAUGAAUGAAAUUGAUGAUUUAUCAAAAUCGAUGGAAUUGUCUGCCCAUUGGUAGUUUCAAAAAAUUCAUUGUGAUUCAUUAGUCUAUGAGCCUUCGGAAAUCAAGAUUUCGCCUUAACAUACUUAUCAUCUCAACAAUGAGGAAUUUGUGAAUUUCUUCAACUUAAUGUCCUUUACGCAAGGGAUUUUUACCAAUUCUGAUAAAAUGGUCAAAAAGUGAUUAUUAAAGGCUCAUAUUCUAAUGCGUAAAAACUAUUCCAUCAUUCUCAAUGGCGUCACACGGAAGGGAUCGAAUCCUACCUUACCUUGUGCACUACCCCUUUGGAUGGUACAAAAAAUAUAAACGUGCAAGUUUCAUUUGAUUAUAUAUCCGAGACAAAAGAUGGUUUAUUCCUAUAACGGGAUUCCCUAAAUGGCAUUCCCUCUAAGGUUUAUGCAUGAUACCAAUUUAUCAAAGCGACUAAAUAUGCAGUAUACAAAUGAAACAUGACCUAAAAGAACCCCUUUUUGUAUGCCGGGGUGAGCCUAAAAUGAAAUAUAAUCAUGCUGUAAAUGCAAAGCAUUGAAUUUAAACGUGUCAUAUCAAAUAGGGUAGGCUCCUAGAGAGUACCAUGCCAGGACUCUUAUUUUUCAGGGCUUAUGAAUACAAUGGAGACAAAAACCAAGAAAAGUUAGUUCAAUCAGACAAAUACACAUAACACAUUGUAGAAAAACAAUACAAAGAGAGGAAGCAAUAAAAGGAAAAGAGGGGUUAGAUCCCUCCCCUCGUGAAUAGUGUCCCUAAUAGGGUAAGGCAGACUCUACCUUAGAUAAACUAUCAUGAAUGCAUGAGGUAUCGGCCUACUAAUGCAUCUAAACUCAAUAGGUUUUAGGUCCCCGAGCCUUCAGACUUGAAAACCGAAGGUCAUCAAUCCCAAGGUUCUUUGUUGGUGGCUCGAACGAUUCCCCAGACAUUGCUACGUGCACGCCGUGCCACGGCCACAUGUCCAAGUGAAUCUAUCAAAAAUCCUCAAUUUUCGACUAAAAGCUAAAGGCUAUCAACCCAAAGCUUAAAAUGGAAGAUUGAGUGACCCCUCGGAUCAUGCUACGCACACGUCGUGUUGCGAUCACACGUCCAAGUGGGUCGCCUAAUCAUAACAGGGAAGAGUGGCGUGACAAGCCACUAAAAGAAAAAUAAAUGAGGGAUAAAAAAAUAAAACGUAUGCACGUAUGCCAGUGCUCGGUUUGGAGGGGAGGGAUCGAGAACCAAUGCGAGAUUCUAGGGUAAUAUUCCCGACCCCAAAUGCAAAGCGCGAUACAUAUAAGUAAAUAAAUAAGCCAUUCAUCACCUACAGGCAAGACGAGGAACAAUUACGAGUGUGAAAUGCAAAACAUCAUAAAAAGAAAAAUGCAACCCAACAUCCAAAUAUGAUAAAUAAAAGAGCUACAAAGAGAAAAUACAACUAAACCAAGUGCUUGGACUCUCUAGCGUCCCCAGUGGAGUCGCCAAGUUAUCGCGUCCCAUUUUUUCGCGAUGGAAAAAUAAAAGGUGUUUAUAAAAAGAUGUGAUUUAUUAAUAAUAAAUGAAAAAGAACCUAGAAUGGGACUUAAAAAGAAUGCGACAAUUCGGGUCCAAAAUUUAGUCUAAAAGGGUUUUCAAGAAAAGAUAGGAGUCGCCACUUGGUAUUGAGUUUUGGUGUACCAAGUCACCCAAAAAAAUAAAGUAAAAUAAAAUAAAACCCUUUUUGACAACUCCAGGUCUUUGAAAACAAGAGAAAAUGGAUUCGGGAGUCACGAUUGAAGAAAGGGAAGGCAAAGGUUCGAUUAACUCAAACCUAAGGCACCUUUUCAACCUAGUCUAAGUUAGUUGCGAGGUUUAGUCAAAAUUUUCCUAAUCUAACCCUUAAUUUUAUCAUAUUUGGAUGUUUCUUACAUGAAUGCAAAUCUAAAUUUAUAAAAUAUCGAAAGGGUCAAAAUAUCCAUUCAAGAAUUUAAUCGAACCAAUCGCAUUAAUUGCGAAAGCCAAAACGAUUCCUUGAAAGUGUCACGAGUAUGCGAAUGAUGAAAUUAAAAUAAAAAAAAUUAAAUUAUAUACAUAUAUAAG
Molecule: long non-coding RNA, 15466 nt
Filed under: Coffea arabica (coffee)
Lineage: Eukaryota; Viridiplantae; Streptophyta; Magnoliopsida; Gentianales; Rubiaceae
Description: long non-coding RNA (CARA_LNC002286)
Source: RNAcentral